UACGUAGGGGGCAAGCGUUGUCCGGAAUUACUGGGCGUAAAGCCACGCAGGCUGAAUUAUAAGUCGGUAGUAAAAGGCGGGGGCUCAACUUCCGUAUAUCUAUCGAUACUGUAAAUCUAGAGUAUGUGAGAGGGAAGCGGAAUUCCCGGUGUAGCUGUGAAAUGCGUAGAUAUCGGGAGGAACACCAGUGGCGAAGGCGGCUUCCUGGCACAAUACUGACGCUCAUGUGCGAAAGCUAGGGCAGCGAACGGGAUUAGAUACCCGGGUAGU
Molecule: ribosomal RNA, 270 nt
Filed under: uncultured prokaryote
Description: partial 16S ribosomal RNA
Rfam family: Bacterial small subunit ribosomal RNA
Source: RNAcentral